GAUGAACGCUGGCGGCGUGCCUAAUACAUGCAAGUCGAGCGAACAGACGAGGAGCUUGCUCCUCUGACGUUAGCGGCGGACGGGUGAGUAACACGUGGAUAACCUACCUAUAAGACUGGGAUAACUUCGGGAAACCGGAGCUAAUACCGGAUAAUAUAUUGAACCGCAUGGUUCAAUAGUGAAAGACGGUUUUGCUGUCACUUAUAGAUGGAUCCGCGCCGCAUUAGCUAGUUGGUAAGGUAACGGCUUACCAAGGCAACCAUGCGUAGCCGACCUGAGAGGGUGAUAGGCCACACUGGAGCUGGGACACGGUCCAGACUCCUACGGGAGGCAGCAGUAGGGAAUCUUCCGCAAUGGGCGAAAGCCUGACGGAGCAACGCCGCGUGAGUGAUGAAGGUCUUCGGAUCGUAAAAAUCUGUUAUUAGGGAAGAACAAAUGUGUAAGUAACUAUGCACGUCUUGACGGUACCUAAUCAGAAAGCCACGGCUAACUACGUG
RNAcentral lists this ribosomal RNA (497 nucleotides) under uncultured bacterium. RNAcentral's name for it is "partial 16S ribosomal RNA". It matches the Rfam family "Bacterial small subunit ribosomal RNA", at positions 28 to 507 of the family's 1533-position model. The record is from RNAcentral.